This 228-nucleotide ribosomal RNA is filed under the name uncultured bacterium. RNAcentral's name for it is "partial 16S ribosomal RNA". It matches the Rfam family "Bacterial small subunit ribosomal RNA", at positions 355 to 574 of the family's 1533-position model. The record is from RNAcentral.
UAGGGAAUCUUCGGCAAUGGGGGCAACCCUGACCGAGCAACGCCGCGUGAGUGAAGAAGGUUUUCGGAUCGUAAAGCUCUGUUGUAAGCCAAGAACGGGUGUGAGAGUGGAAAGUUCACACUGUGACGGUAGCUUACCAGAAAGGGACGGCUAACUACGUGCCAGCAGCCGCGGUAAUACGUAGGUCCCGAGCGUUGUCCGGAUUUAUUGGGCGUAAAGCGAGCGCAG